Long non-coding RNA from Bufo bufo (common toad), 115 nucleotides. RefSeq lists it as uncharacterized. The record is from RefSeq and is a predicted model, not a curated record. The transcript is spliced from 3 exons. NCBI's taxonomy places the organism in Eukaryota, Metazoa, Chordata, Amphibia, Anura, Bufonidae.
AACAGCAACAGGGAGCGCUGUGUGGCAGUGCACCUAUUCCACAGUAUUAUCAGUGAGAGAGCCACCAAACCUUGAUUUUCCAUAGAUAGAAAUAAUGAGGCAGUGAGCUGCAAGG